UACGUAGGCAGCAAGCGUUGUUCGGAGUUACUGGGCGUAAAGGGUGUGUAGGCGGUUCUUUAAGUUUGGUGUGAAAUCUCCCGGCUUAACCGGGAGGGUGCGCCGAAUACUGAGGGACUAGAGUACGGGAGAGGAAAGUGGAAUUCCUGGUGUAGCGGUGAAAUGCGUAGAUAUCAGGAGGAACACCGGUGGUGUAGACGGCUUUCUGGACCGUAACUGACGCUGAGACACGAAAGCGUGGGGAGCGAACAGG
RNAcentral lists this ribosomal RNA (253 nucleotides) under uncultured bacterium. Its description in RNAcentral is "partial 16S ribosomal RNA". It matches the Rfam family "Bacterial small subunit ribosomal RNA", at positions 524 to 776 of the family's 1533-position model. The record is from RNAcentral.